RNAcentral lists this ribosomal RNA (614 nucleotides) under uncultured spirochete. RNAcentral's name for it is "bacterial SSU rRNA". It matches the Rfam family "Bacterial small subunit ribosomal RNA", at positions 59 to 664 of the family's 1533-position model. Lineage: Bacteria; Pseudomonadati; Spirochaetota; Spirochaetia; Spirochaetales. The record is from RNAcentral.
AAGUCGAGCGGCAAGGGGUAGCAAUACCCCCUAGAGCGGCGGACUGGUGAGUAACGCGUGGGUGACCUACCCUUAGGUUGGGGAUAGCCUUAGAAAUAGUGGGUAAUACCGAAUAUAGUUGUUUUGCUAUGGCGAGACAAAGAAAGGAGCCUUGGCUCCGCCUGAGGAUGGGCCCGCGUCCCAUUAGGUAGUUGGUGAGGUAAAGGCCCACCAAGCCCGAGAUGGGUAGCCGGCCUGAGAGGGUGAACGGCCACACUGGGACUGAGAUACGGCCCAGACUCCUACGGGAGGCAGCAGCUAAGAAUAUUCCGCAAUGGACGAAAGUCUGACGGAGCGACGCCGCGUGUAUGAAGAAGGCCGAAAGGUUGUAAAGUACUUUUCUUGCUGAAGAAUAAGCGUGGGAGGGAAUGCCCGCGUGAUGACGGUAAGCAAGGAAUAAGCCCCGGCUAAUUACGUGCCAGCAGCCGCGGUAACACGUAAGGGGCGAGCGUUGUUCGGAAUUAUUGGGCGUAAAGGGCGCGUAGGCGGUUACGUAAGUCUGGCGUGAAAGGCAGGGGCUUAACUCCUGGACUGCGCUGGAAACUGCAUAACUUGAGUCAUGGAGGGGGAGUUGG